ACCAACAGGGAUUGCCCCAGUAACGGCGAGUGAAGCGGCAACAGCUCAAAUUUGAAAUCUGGCCCUUGGGUCCGAGUUGUAAUUUGUAGAGGAUGCUUUUGGCGAGGUGCCUUCCGAGUUCCCUGGAACGGGACGCCAUAGAGGGUGAGAGCCCCGUCUGGUCGGACACCGAGCCUCUGUAAAGCUCCUUCGACGAGUCGAGUAGUUUGGGAAUGCUGCUCAAAAUGAGAGGUAUAUGUCUUCUAAAGCUAAAUAUUGGCCAGAGACCGAUAGCGCACAAGUAGAGUGAUCGAAAGAUGAAAAGCACUUUGAAAAGAGGGUUAAAAAGUACGUGAAAUUGUUGAAAGGGAAGCGCCUAUGACCAGACUUGGGCCCGGUGAAUCAUCCAGCGUUCUCGCUGGUGCACUUUGCCGGGCACAGGCCAGCAUCAGUUUGGCGCGGGGGAAAAAGGCUUUGGGAAUGUGGCUCCCUCGGGAGUGUUAUAGCCCAUUGUGUAAUACCCUGCGCCGGACUGAGGUACGCGCAUUGCAAGGAUGCUGGCGUAAUGGUCAUCAGCGACCCGUCUUGAAACACGGACCAAGGAGUCGUCUUCGUAUGCGAGUGUUCGGGUGUCAAACCCCUACGCGUAAUGAAAGUGAACGCAGGUGAGAGCUUCGGCGCAUCAUCGACCGAUCCUGAUGUUCUCGGAUGGAUUUGAGUAAGAGCAUACGGGGCCGGACCCGAAAGAAGGUGAACUAUGCCUGUAUAGGGUGAAGCCAGAGGAAACUCUGGUGGAGGCUCGCAGCGGUUCUGACGUGCGAAUCGAUCGUCAAAUAUGGGCAUGGGGGCGAAAGACUAAUCGAACCUU
Molecule: ribosomal RNA, 847 nt
Filed under: Cordyceps sp. J421
Lineage: Eukaryota; Fungi; Ascomycota; Sordariomycetes; Hypocreales; Cordycipitaceae
Description: LSU rRNA
Rfam family: Eukaryotic large subunit ribosomal RNA
Source: RNAcentral